This is a long non-coding RNA of Photinus pyralis (common eastern firefly), 2155 nucleotides long. RefSeq lists it as uncharacterized. NCBI's taxonomy places the organism in Eukaryota, Metazoa, Arthropoda, Insecta, Coleoptera, Lampyridae. The transcript is spliced from 2 exons. The record is from RefSeq and is a predicted model, not a curated record.
UCCCGUAUCUACUCGUACGCGAUCGAUCUCCGAAGUUGUACGUAUAAACCGGGAAAAAUUUCGACCGCGUCUUCAGUAGGCGCCGGGCGUCAGCCUGUGGCCGAAGGGGGGGCCCGUGUCGCUCGGGGGGCGGGGGUGUGCCUUUUUUUUCUAAGUCCACGCGCAUGGAUGCGUUUUAAAGGGCCGCGCAUCUCUUAAUAUCUCCCUUAUUUACCGGCCGAUCUGGACCAAAUUUAAACCGUAGCUGCGUCCGGCCGGGGGCUCGAAAUGGGAUUUUCAAUUUUUUCCUAUCCCCUCCCCUUUUCGAGAUAUCGACGCAUCUCUGUCGUCUUUCGACCUGCGACCUCGAUACUUCGGAAUCACGCGUUUCGCGACAUUUCUAGACGAUCUACGCAAUAACCGUUUUUUGGAUUUUUUAUUAAAAACUUAAAUCGCGAUAUCUCGAAAACGGAACGUCGUAGAUAGGGGUUCCUGGGUGUCUUUAGAAAGUUCUCGACCUAAUCUAACCGAUGGGAGGGUCGAAAUUUGGAAACUGAGAUACCAGCUCGGAAAUGACGGAAUCGAAUGGCCCUGGUCCCCAAACCUCUCGAUACCAAAUUUCAGCGAGAUCGGUCGGUAAAUAACGGAGAUAUAGCAAUUUGUAAUUUGACACCACCGAAAACACUUAAAACGCGAUAUCUCGAGAACGGUGCGUCGUAGACGGGUCUUUAUAGGUAUCUUUGGAAAGCUCUCGAUGUAAUCUAACCGAUGGGAUGGUCAGAAUUUCGGAAUGGAGAUAGAAGUGCCGAAAGGAUGGAAACGGGUGCCUCAAUUUCUCCAACCUCUCAAUACUGAAUAUUUAUCGAGAUCGGACUAUAAAUAAAGGAAAUAUAACGAUAUGUAAUUUGACACCAUUGAAAACACUUAAAACGCGAUAUCUCGUAUAUUUACACACGUGCGCAUACUGAGAGAUCAAUAUAUGCUGCACCGCUCUUAUAAAAUAUGACAAUAGUAAUUAUUUGCCGCAACCAGGUAUCGUGUAUGUGCACCUAUAUACUAAAGUCACUAGAUAUAGAAAGUAACACAAUCAUCCGCCAUUUUGGUGAAAAUUUGCUGCCAACUUAAAAAAAUUUAAAAAUAAAAACUGAAUAUCAGUAAUUUUUUAUAGCCUAACUUCAUAGUACUGUCAUGUUUUAUAUAAAUAUAAUCCCAUCUCUAAACAGGUGAUACAAUCCCCAACAUUAAAGUUACUAGAAUUUUUUUGGGCAAAAAUUAUGCUUUCUCUCUUUAACACACGAGCCAAAUGGAUUGCGGUACUUUCUAUAUUUAUCCAAUACAAAAUAUAACCUAUAAUUUCACAAACUAUAAUUUCUAAUUCUUAUUACUAUCGUUCCUUUCAACACGACUUUUUUCAAGACUACCAGUUUCUUUCGAAUAUUUACAAGUUGUAGCGUGUAAUAGGCAAUAGGUUUACUUCGACAAGCCUUUUACUUCUUAGAAGAGAAUAAGAUGCGUUUGCAGUUCUGUUUCCGUAAUGGAACUAAAGAUGAAAGUGAAGUUUGAGAGUACUCGAUACGUUUGUGUAUACAGGAGUUUCGAUAAACGGAUGUCAACCGUGACGAGGAUUACAACAAUAUACGCCGAAAUGCUCGUCGUUUACUUGAACGGUUUCACAUACAGGAAGUCUUGCUUCUGGGAAGUCACCUGGCCGCUUAGCGAUUGCUAAUAAGGCGUUUGUAAAAGAUAUUCUUGCUCGUCUUGAACAAAGUCGAAAAAAGCAACUGCGAUAAUUUGUCCCACUAACGGAUAUCUCAUACGGAACGUGUGACACUAUUGCCUGGAGAAAAUUGUACUUCUAUCCUUUAAAGUAACCGUGUUACAAGAACUCAUCGUCUGGACUUGCAAAGUCCUAAAAUAUUGCAUGCAAAUUUACUAGAUGUCAACGUAUUCGAAACCGUUUACACACCAUUGCCGAAUUACGAGCAGAUAUAGAAGCUACCGUUUGAAGCAUUAUGCAACGGCACUUACAUGCCGGCUUCGAAAACAAAGAAAAGAGUGGACCCCUGUCUUAAUUAUGGUGACGAGAUCUUCGAACAGUUGUUUAUAACAUGUGAUUUAUCCAAUUACUUCAAUAUUAACGAUUUGUAAAAGAAAUAAAAUUGUUUCAAUUGUUGUA